CAUAGCCAAAUUUUUUUUGUUCCAAAAAGUGAUAUACUCGUAUAUAUAAUUAAAAUUGUAUUGAUAAUUUUAGUUUCUUUAUGAUAUAUUGAAAUCUUAAUCUACGAAAAUAAAUACAAAACGUCUUUGUUCUCUGUUUAAACUGGAUACUUCCCAAUUUUCAGAUGUUCCAAGUAACGAGGUAUCGAGUGCCACUGAAUGCUGUCCUGUUAUUUUAUUUUGAGCUAAACUACCACAUUCAGCAUCUCUACACUCGACCCGCGACCCCAAGAACCAGUGUUCUUCUACUCUAGACUUGGUAAUAUUAGUCCCUACAAUGCAAGUUACAUCGGUAGAGUGCAGCCAAGAGGAGAAAAAAUUAUAUUGAUAAAUAUUAUAAUAUAUAGAUAUAAUUUAAAAAUUUCAAGAAAAAUCCAAAUCAUAUUGUUCACAUUCCAGUUUUCUUACGGCAGCAAAAAUGUAGCCGACGAGGCUACUCUAUGUAAUAAACUAUUUAUAUAUAUAAUCCUGGUCAUUCCGGAACCAAAAAUGUACCUUACCCUAUCUACUACUAAACUAAUUAACUAAAAUUCAACCAGGAUUAAAUAAAAAUAGGAAAAUAAAUAAAUUUGGCCAUGUGAUCGUCUAGUGUAUUUACGUUGUGAACCUUAGUACCCUUCGUCUUUUAUGUGAAAACUGAUACGAUUUGGAUUUUUCAAAACUAUCCCUAAAUAUCCUAUGAAUUUGUAAAUAUUCCUACUGUAUAUUUUUAUUAACACUAUUGUUAGACAAAUAAAAAAAUAGUAAAUAAUAUAUAUUUUUUAGAAUUUAUCUCCUACCGGGCCCUACCGUGACCAGUUACCGUGAACAGUAGUAAGCCCUUUUUGUUUGUAAUUUAAAAAUUUAUAUUUUCCUUUUAAUAUAUCUCUUCGCUAACCUAGCUAGCUAAAGGAAAAUAUGUAUAUGUAACCAUUGUAACCAUAAGUAAAUAUUGCAAAGAAUAGUAAGUACAAACAUACUUUAUCUACUGUCACGCCCGGAUGAAGACGGGUCUCUAAGCUAAUUAAUACCCAUUUUAUUUUAUUUUAUUUUUAAUAGGUAUUCCUAAGCACUAUGUAAUAUUACUCUACCAACGUUUCGUAACCUAAUUUCAGACGAGAAGAAACGCCAAGAAACUCAUCUGAAUGUACUAUUAAUGUAUGGAAUACUGAAAACAAUCGUCUAUUAAAUAUGACUUUAUUUACCCUUUAAUUUCCCAGUUAUAGAAAAGCUCAAUUGUCACUAGUGAACUGCUCCGCCGGUCACUAGCUCCCUAUAACAAAAUUAUUUAGUAUGUCCUCAAAUAACUUUGUUCCCCUAUCUCACCCAAUGUAAAAAUAUAUAAACCUUCAAUCAUAUUUAAUGUACGAGCCUCA
Long non-coding RNA from Cydia pomonella (codling moth), 1394 nucleotides. RefSeq lists it as uncharacterized. Lineage: Eukaryota; Metazoa; Arthropoda; Insecta; Lepidoptera; Tortricidae. The record is from RefSeq and is a predicted model, not a curated record. The transcript is spliced from 3 exons.